This 4707-nucleotide long non-coding RNA is filed under the name Oryza sativa (Asian cultivated rice). RNAcentral's name for it is "long non-coding RNA (OSAT_LNC001364)". The record is from RNAcentral. Lineage: Eukaryota; Viridiplantae; Streptophyta; Magnoliopsida; Poales; Poaceae.
GAAGGAUGGUGCUACGAGUGUGGAGAUCGUCCACCGUCUUCUCCACCUCCGGUCACCGUCGCCGUUGCCGAAUCCACCCCCUCCGGUGAGUACCAACCCAAUUCCAUGCAUCAGUAGCAUCCCUGGGGCCUCUCUAACCUCAUGGACACACAUGCAUGAUAGUUCUUGGAGCUGAUUGAGCCAUCGCCGUUCACCCGGAGGUUCUUGCCGCCGCCGAGCCGUUACACGAGCCACCGUCAUAAACCUAGCUACCCCAGCCAUGUCUACCAUCUCGGUGAGCACCCUUCAGCCUAUAGAACAUACAUGCAUGCACCCAAUUAACCAAUACAUGAUUGUAGAAGCACAUGCAUCACCACCCGAAAACAUCCUCCUUUCGGACUCGCCGCCGGCGUUACUCCGAUGUCCACUGACCGAGAAAAGUAGAGGAAUGGAAUCGCAAUAACAUGAUCUUCAUUUUGUAUUUUGGUUGCACCCCCAAACGAGCCAUCGUUUGUCGCCGGUGAGCUCGAGAUCGAGCUCAGCCAUGGCUGUUCUGCCUCUGUGCAUGAGAAAAGAAGUCAGGGACCUUGUUUCGAGAAUUUAAACAACUAUAAGGUUUAAUGUGCAACUUUUCAACUCACUGACAUAUGAGGCUAGGUCUGCGGGUUGAUUCUUAGAAACCUCAGGGAUCUUUUUGUAUAUUGAUCUUUCACUGACAGUGGACCCCUUGGAAACAAAAAUCUGAAAUUAUAAAAGGAAAGUACCUAAAACUUGUAAAAUCCAUAUAAAAUUAAAUAUAGCUCAUUUUAAGAUGAUACAAAUUUCUGUGAACUCACCAAAUUGUGAACUUUAGUGUUAUGGAAUAAAAACUUGCACUCACAGUACAAAUUUAGCCUCUAAAAUUUAUCCAAGUUAAAUCACACAUAAAGCAUGCACAAACUUAUAAAAUGCAUACAAAAUUCAUUUCAACUCAUUUUGGAACAAACUCAGUUUCUACGGAUCCACCAACUUAUGUUCUCCUAUAAAGCAAAAUGAAAUAGUAUACAUACUAUACAUCGAAUGCCUCUAAAACUAUUACCUUUAAAAUGACUAGUUUUGCAUAAGCUGAACUUUAGAAGUUUAUAUAAAAUUCAUCUUAGAUCCUUUUUGAGUAAACCCAAAUUCAGUAGAAUCAUAGGGUUGUGCACUUCAAUUUUAUAAAAUAAAAAGAUAUACUUACAGUAUAAUGAAAACCCCUAAGUAUUUAAGUAAGGAAUAAGCAACAUGGAGCAUACCUUAACUUGUAACAUUUGUAGAAAAUUCAUCUAUAGUCUAAAUGAAGUGAACCAAAUUUUCUAUAGAACCAGCAAGUAAUAUACUUCAACCUAGUAGAGUGAAUUAUAGCACCCUCUUACAGACCAUGGCUCUGAACCUUAAUUUGGUAGAAUAGGUACUAAACACAUAGUAGUGGUUAAACAAUACAUAUGAAAAAGUAUAUAUAUGCAUGGUAGCUCCAAAUAAAUCCAAAUAAAACUUGUUGAACCAGUGAAGGCAUAGAUCCAUCCCCUUCCACCAAAACUUAGUAUCCUUAACUCAUAUAAUAAUCUCCAGAUUGAUAUGUUAAGUUUCUAACAUAGAACAUCCCCUAGCUUAUAAAAUGUGAAGUAAAGUAAUUUGAACACUAAAAUUUUAUAAACUAAGAUUAGAUUAGUUAACUAAAAUACUCAUUUUAUACAACACUAGCAAGUUAGAGCAAGUUCUGGACCUAAAUCUCCAAAGCCAUGUACACAUAGGGACUAUAUGCCUAGAACACGUUAAAACUUGUAAAAUACAUAAAUAAUUCAUAUUAACUCUAAAAAUUAUGAAACCAAAUGUGUUAGUCUUAGAAAACAAAUAUCUUCACCCCAGCAAACAUAAACUUAAUAAGAAUCACCUUACAACAGCAUUUCACAAUAGUACCUAAGUAAAUCCUACACUGUACCGACGAAACUUCUAAAAUUCAUAACUCCGAAAUAAAAUGAGAUAAAAUAGAAAUUCUUUCACCUAAAUUCAUUUUAUACCAGUACCUAUUCUCUGUGCACAAAUCAUGCAUUUUAGAACAUUUUGGAUUUUUCGCAUAUUUCGGUGUUUAAUUGCAUAACGUGUACUUUGUAUAGAUGAUUGCUUAAUCGGUGAAGAAGUGAUUUAGGUGCUGACAUUUUCCUGAUUCAAGGCAAGUCCCACCUCCCUCUCUUUGAUCACUUUGAACCUAUCUUUUGGAGGUUAUUGAAAAUGUUUGCAAAUCUUGCAUGUCGAUUGUACACUAAUAAAUUAAAAUUUUGUUAAACUUGUUAGAUAAACUCCUAUUAUUUGCAUUAUCACCUUAACUCCACAUAUAUCCAUAUUCCUCAUUCCUAACCUUAGGAACAAUAUGGCUAUACCACUUUAUAUAUGAGUUUUGGUGACACUAGGUUACUAUAAAUCUUAGCCAUGCUUAGAAUGGUCUUCCUUGUCAUUAUGGGCUCAUUUCAAACAUGAAAAUUGAUUUUUAAUUAAUCUGGACAUAACUUUAAUACUUGUGAUUUUGAUAAAUAAAAUGGUGGAAAACAUGGAUUUUAGGUUUGGGCCUCAAGUGGUGCACAUAUGGUGAUUAGUUGUGUACCGAUAGGGGGAGAGUGCGCCCAAACCGACCUAAGGACUUCACUCAAUGUCAGUUCAUUUCGUAUACAGUACAACCACAUGUGCUAGUAUGGGAUAGUCCAAGCUUAGUAAAUUAUUUAUGGUUUAGCCUUACAUUCUGGUAGGCCGGUGUAUAUGAGUUCGGAUAACUCAGAGGAACUUCCUAUUUACCCCGACGUGGUAGUUUAGGUGACUAAGUCUGUCCAAUACAACGGUAUUGUGCCACGUGGGUGGGUUCCCGUUGUGUCCGCCACCACGGCGUUAAGUUCAAGGCGUGGGCCCGCCACUUAACGGUUCUAGGUCAUAUUUCCAGUAUGACUAGGAUGGAGGAACACGUAUCGUGCUGGUGUAAGGCUAAAUCAUGAAUUUUGGAAAAGCUUUGUUGCGGGUAAUAAAUCGGGUACUUAUGUAUCGCGUGCCAUGCACUUGCAUGAUUAUUAUUUCGCAUCAUGUGGGUAAAGUGUACAAACUCUGCAGAGUUAAAACUAAUCGAUUAGCCGUGCUCGCAGUCAUGAGCGGCGUGUGGAUAUGUAUUGAGUAUAGACUUGUGUUUAUUCUCCUAAAUGCUGAAAUUUACCUUCAAAUUGUGAUGAGAUUUGAGAAUGAUCUCCUUGCUGCCAUGGAUGGCAAUGAGGUGAAUAUUUAUACAUGAUUAAUGCCUACUCUGAUGCCCAUAUGCUAAGUACUAGCUUGCUGAAAUUUUAUUUGAAAGCAAAUCCGUUUUGAAUGUGUUUUAUGCAAAUAAAAUUUGCUUUAUGCUAAAAAGAACCAUACUAUGCCUUCCUUGAUUAUAUACCUUGCAAGUAGGGUGUUAGGCUUGUCUUGGUGCUUGCCAGUACAUUAUUUCUAAUAAUGUACUGACUCUUGCUGUGGAAUUAACUUUUGCUUGCAGGAUUUAGACUUAGUCUUUGAGUGAUGCGGGUUAUCGACUGCUUCUUCUAGGACUUGAACAUAAUGGGUAAACCCCUAGUCGGUGUGCUUGUGGAUUGGGUAGACAAGUUUCCGCUGUUCUAUUAUUUAUUUGGCCGGUCGGCCAAUGUAACUAAAGUAGAUGUAGUUUUUAAUCGCUUUCAUCUUAUUUGUGUUUGCUAUGUAUAAUCAUGCUUGAGAUGAAAGUGUGAAUCUAGUGCACAUCCUGGGAACUAGAUUCACAUGAGUAUGAGUUAGGAAUAUUUGAGAUGUAGAACUUUAGCCAUUUUUGUCAAGUCUCCUGAAUGUGUAACACAUCUGGUCGCCGCCUUCGAGUGGUUUGACGGGCACAUCUCAGGCUGAAGUUGACUGGCAGGCUAAAGGCCUAGCAAUAUCUCCAAUAUUCCUCUCUCGAGGCGUCGGAUAUUUCAUUAUGCUUGUUUGAUGACUUGAAUUAUUCACUUCAUCUCUCAAUUAUAAUGGAAGGUCCGGAGAGCCUACGACAUAAUGUUAAUAGAUUGUUGCUAGAGAAAAUAUUGAUGGUUUACAACUCUAAUAUGGCUAAUUAUAGUACAAAACUAUAAAUGCUACAAGUCAACUAUAUGGGUAUGGGUACCCAUUGGAUACCCGUUACCCGCACGGGUGUGGGUAUGGGGAAGAUUUUCUACUCGUGAUGGGUGUGGGUAUUUAAGUGGGAAUAUUUAGACGUCACGGGUGUGGGUAUGGGGCAAGAGAACCCGAUGGGUAUGCACCCGUUGCCAUCCCUAGCCGCGCCGCACGCGCCUGUCACGCGCGCGCCCACGCGCGUUGACCGCGCCUGGCAGGCGGGUCCCGCCUGUCGGACCCGUCUUCCUCCCCCAGCCGGCCUCUUCUCUCUCACGUGCAAACCUAGCGCCGUUCCUCCUCCAAAUCCACCCCAUUCAAGCCGGCUCUUUCCAAAUUAAUUGGGGGGUUUUAAUCCCCAUUGAAUCCUCUUCAAUUCCCCCCAAUUUCCCCCUUGAAUCGUGCCCCCAAUCGCCGGGAAUGCCCGCGCCAACUCCGGCCACCUUCCAUGGUCGCCGGCCGCCUUUUCCGCCGCCGUUCCGACCUCCCCCGUGGCCGGCUCCCUCUCCUCUCCUAUAAAAUGGAACCCCCUCGCCCCGUUCUCUCGUUUUAGCCCCCUCCCGCGAUCUCCUGUGGUCC